UACAGAGGUCCCAAGCGUUGUUCGGAUUCACUGGGCGUAAAGGGUGCGUAGGCGGUCGGGUAAGUCUGAUGUGAAAUCUCACAGCCUAACUGUGAAACUGCAUUGGAUACUAUCCGGCUCGAGGAAUGGAGGGGAGACUGGAAUGCUUGGUGUAGCAGUGAAAUGCGUAGAUAUCAAGUGGAACACCAGUGGCGAAGGCGAGUCUCUGGACGGUUUCUGACACUAAGACUCGAAAGCGUGGGGAGCAAACAGG
This 253-nucleotide ribosomal RNA is filed under the name uncultured bacterium. RNAcentral's name for it is "partial 16S ribosomal RNA". It matches the Rfam family "Bacterial small subunit ribosomal RNA", at positions 524 to 776 of the family's 1533-position model. The record is from RNAcentral.